UACGGAGGGUGCAAGCGUUAUCCGGAUUCACUGGGUUUAAAGGGUGCGUAGGCGGGUUGGUAAGUCCGUGGUGAAAUCUCCAAGCUUAACUUGGAAACUGCCGUGGAUACUAUCAAUCUUGAAUAUAGUGGAGGUGAGCGGAAUAUGUCAUGUAGCGGUGAAAUGCUUAGAUAUGACAUAGAACACCCAUUGCGAAGGCAGCUCACUAACCGAUCAUUGACGCUGAGGCACGAAAGCGUGGGGAUCAAACAGG
This 253-nucleotide ribosomal RNA is filed under the name uncultured bacterium. Its description in RNAcentral is "partial 16S ribosomal RNA". It matches the Rfam family "Bacterial small subunit ribosomal RNA", at positions 524 to 776 of the family's 1533-position model. The record is from RNAcentral.